UGCCACAUAAGUCUAAGCUUUUAGUUUGAAUGAAACUUAACGCCAUCUGUUUAGUACUUGGGAAUAUCCCACAGACAGAUAAUACAGUUACGAGGAAGGUAUCAUAUUGACAUGAAAAUAUCAUUUGAAUUCUUUUCCAGUGACAACCUUUAUUUUUCCAGUUGAGAAUGGCCGCUAAUUCAAGGAUAAAUCAGUAUGCAAAUAAGAAAACACUUUGCUACAUUCAAUAAAUGUUAGCACUUAAUCAAGGAUCUUUUGGAAAGAAUGAAAAGUCAUAUGCACUACAUGAGCAAAACUAGACAAGUACAGCCAGUAUAAGAAGAUUCUGGUUGCUGGAGUAACUUAAGUACUUUAUCAAGAAUAUUCAAAAAAGAGUUACUAUGAUCUGUCGUAAACACUUACACAGUUGAAGAUUGCGGGUGCACCUGGUCCUGCAUUUACAGAGCAUCAAGCAUAAGUACAAAAAAGACGCCAAACCCCACACUACGCAAUUUAUAACAAGACCAUGAAAUAAUAUCCAGACAUUGAAAUUGAUACACAUGAAAUACUGAUGCUAGACAAGAGUGGUUGCUCUGAUGGUAAGCAACCCCACUUCCAACCGAGAGGUUGUGAGUUCGAGUCUGCCCAGGAGCAAGGUGGGAAGUUCUUGGAGGGAAGGAUGCCGGGGGUCUAUUUGGAAACAGGCCUCUCUACCCAGGGAUAGGGGUAAGGUCUGCGUACAUAAUAUCCUCCCCAGACCCCACUAAGUGGGAUUAUACUGGGUUGUACUUUUGAGACAAGAGGGGCUUGCUAUGAUGGUAAGCAACCCCCACUUCCAACCAAGAGGUUGUGAGUUCGAGUCUCCCCAAGAGUAAAGGUGGGAAGCCGAGAGGUUGUGAGUUCGAGUCUGCCCAGGAGCAAGGUGGGAAGUUCUUGGAGGGAAGGAUGCCGGGGGUCUAUUUGGAAACAGGCCUCUCUACCCAGGGAUAGGGGUAAGGUCUGCGUACAUAAUAUCCUCCCCAGACCCCACUAAGUGGGAUUAUACUGGGUUGUUGUUGUUGAAAUACUGAUGCUGAUUAAAAAGAAAUACACAUGAUUCUACAUCUUUUCUUUUUCAUUUUUCUUACUAUAUGACAAGAGGGGCUUGGUCUGAUGGUAACCAACCCUCACUUACAACCGAGAGGUUGUGAGUUCGAGUCUCCCCAGGAGCAAAUUCUGGGGAUUUAUGCNNN
Molecule: long non-coding RNA, 1211 nt
Filed under: Nicotiana benthamiana
Lineage: Eukaryota; Viridiplantae; Streptophyta; Magnoliopsida; Solanales; Solanaceae
Description: long non-coding RNA (NBEN_LNC039825)
Source: RNAcentral